UGCCAGCCGCCGCGGUAAGACAGAGGGUGCAAGCGUUAAUCGGAAUUACUGGGCGUAAAGCGCGCGUAGGCGGAUUGGAAAGUUAGAGGUGAAAUCCCAGGGCUCAACCCUGGAACUGCCUUUAAAACUCCCAGUCUUGAGUUCGAGAGAGGUGAGUGGAAUUCCGAGUGUAGAGGUGAGAUUCGUAGAUAUUCGGAGGAACACCAGUGGCGAAGGCGGCUCACUGGCUCGAUACUGACGCUGAGGUGCGAAAGUGUGGGGAGCAAACAGGAUUAGAUA
Molecule: ribosomal RNA, 279 nt
Filed under: uncultured bacterium
Lineage: Bacteria
Description: partial 16S ribosomal RNA
Rfam family: Bacterial small subunit ribosomal RNA
Source: RNAcentral